Carya illinoinensis is the source of this 1769-nucleotide RNA transcript. It is a transcript of the gene named triphosphate tunnel metalloenzyme 3-like, with no coding region annotated. The record is from RefSeq and is a predicted model, not a curated record. Lineage: Eukaryota; Viridiplantae; Streptophyta; Magnoliopsida; Fagales; Juglandaceae. The transcript is spliced from 3 exons.
UUUGUUUUUGGAUGUUGAUUUCUUGUUCGGGUGGUUGCCGAUAUGGUGCUUGCAUUUGCGAUUGAUGACAUUUAUGUUCUUACUGAUUGGAUUUGUGGGUAUUUAUUUGUUUGCAUACUGAUAAGAGUAUUUUUGUUGGAUAAAAUUUUUAGGUUGCGAUUAUAUGUAGGAUUGUUAUGGUUUGACAACUCAUCGGAAAAAGAUAAGAUUUGAAUGGGGAAUGAGGACAAAACCCUUUAAGUUUACACGUUGCUUGGUAACAUGAUUCCAUUUCUGGUUCCUUCACUGCUUCCAAAAUCGAGUCACUUACAUUGCACUGCUGCUUCUUUUAAAAUGCUGUAAGUGGACUGUAUGGGUAGUACUUUCCCCAGAGCGCCUAAAGUCGUACAAUGAUCACUUUCGAAGCUCUGGUUUGCAUUAAACCGUCGGGCAUGAUUAUUUAUCCUUGCUAGAGAUGACUCAUAACCAUCUCUGAAAUCCAGAAGUGUCUAUAAAGACUUGGUGGGCUCCAACGUUCCUCCUCUGUAUCAAAUCUUUAAAGACUUCAUGCUUAAAAUGACCUCAUAGUGAAUAAAAAAGGCAAAGACUUGAAGGGUUUAUUGUAUGGUACGCUUUAGUUGGGUCAAGCUUUUAUUGGUUUGGAUUGAGUAUAGUAUGCCCAAAUAAACUAAUGGUGGUUUGUCUUUCCUUUUGGGUCAAAGUUUUGUUUAUUUGACGUGAGUAUGGUACGCCCAAGUAAAACACUAAUGGUUGUUCUAUCUUUACCUUUAUGCAAUCUUCAAGUGAAUAUUUUACUUCCUGUUGGAGGUUGUGAUUGUGAUCUUUGAUGGUUGUAGUGCCUGUUUGGUUGAGUUUGAAAGCAUGAAAAGUAUGUACUUUCAAUAGCUUCAAAGCUCUUUUGAAGAAAAAAUAGCAUGCUUGGUAAAUUUAUAAAAAAUUCUUUAAGCAUCCUAAAGAAUCUGAAAAUCCACUUAAAAUUCUAAAUUGAGACUUUUGUCGAAAAGCACCUCCAAGAAGACACUGAAAAUAACUUUUAACGACUUUAAAUGCGCACAAUUUCUUCGACUAACUUGUUAUUAUUAUUUUUUAAUCUAGGACUAUGUUUGGCCUGUCACCCAUAAUUCUUGAUCUGUUUGUUUUUGGGCCUAAUUCUUCAACCUUUACUUUUACAUGAUUUUCAUUCCUCUGUUAUUUAUAUCCUUGUGAAUUGAUUCUCAUUUGCAGUGGUAGUUUGACUGUGAUGUUUUUUCUUUAAAUUGAUUGUUCAUCAUUGUCCAAGCAUUGCCAACAUUCAUUUUUUCCAAAUAUGAUUUGAUGCAGUGACCUAUUGAUAGCUUUAUGUUUACAUUCAUGUUUAGUGACCUGGAGUCACCAGGUUCGUUUUCACAAAUAUGAAUGUGAUGAACUUCCUAGAAUUGCUUAGCUGUAGUUUCAGAGCUCACAAUGUAAUUCGUACUUGCUGGCCUGUGUCGGAGCUCAUCAAGAGUUAGGAAUGCGAUAUUCUAAGUCCAGGCUAUGUCAAAAGCAUCAUGAAAUUCCUUCUGGCCUAAGGUUACCCCUCCUUUUCAUCAAGUUUCUUAUUCGGAUAGCCCUCCAAAGGAUUAGACAUUGCACGACAGAAUAUAGAGCAAAUAGAGUUCUAAUAGUUUGAAAAUUAUAUGUCUGACUCUCGACUAGUCAAUUUGGAAAAUAAUUGUUAUUGCCUUGUAAUGAUUUGCUUUCUAUGUUUAAAACAGGAAAAAAUCUAUUCCCCGUCUAUUUUCUCAUCA